AUUGAACGCUGGCGGCAGGCUUAACACAUGCAAGUCGAGCGGAGUGAUGGUGCUUGCACUAUCACUUAGCGGCGGACGGGUGAGUAAUGCUUAGGAAUCUGCCUAUUAGUGGGGGACAACAUCUCGAAAGGGAUGCUAAUACCGCAUACGUCCUACGGGAGAAAGCAGGGGAUCACUUGUGACCUUGCGCUAAUAGAUGAGCCUAAGUCGGAUUAGCUAGUUGGUGGGGUAAAGGCCUACCAAGGCGACGAUCUGUAGCGGGUCUGAGAGGAUGAUGCGCCAAACUGGGACUGAGACACGGCCCAGACUCCGACGGGAGGCAGCAGUGGGGAAUAUUGGACAAUGGGGGGAACCCUGAUCCAGCCAUGCCGCGUGUGUGAAGAAGGCCUUAUGGUUGUAAAGCACUUUAAGCGAGGAGGAGGCUCUUUUGGUUAAUACCCAAGAUGAGUGGACGUUACUCGCAGAAUAAGCACCGGCUAACUCUGUGCCAGCAGCCGCCGUAA
RNAcentral lists this ribosomal RNA (503 nucleotides) under uncultured bacterium. Its description in RNAcentral is "partial 16S ribosomal RNA". It matches the Rfam family "Bacterial small subunit ribosomal RNA", at positions 30 to 523 of the family's 1533-position model. The record is from RNAcentral.